GACGAACGCUGGCGGCGUGCUUAACACAUGCAAGUCGAACGGAAAGGCCCUGCUUUUGUGGGGUGCUCGAGUGGCGAACGGGUGAGUAACACGUGAGUAACCUGCCCUUGACUUUGGGAUAACUUCAGGAAACUGGGGCUAAUACCGGAUAGGAGCUCCUGCUGCAUGGUGGGGGUUGGAAAGUUUCGGCGGUUGGGGAUGGACUCGCGGCUUAUCAGCUUGUUGGUGGGGUAGUGGCUUACCAAGGCUUUGACGGGUAGCCGGCCUGAGAGGGUGACCGGCCACAUGGGGACGGAGAUACGGCCCAGACUCCUACGGAGGCAGCAGUGGGGAAUAUUGCACAAUGGGCGGAAGCCUGAUGCAGCAACGCCGCGUGCGGGAUGACGGCCUUCGGGUUGUAAACCGCUUUCGCCUGUGACGAAGCGUGAGUGACGGUAAUGGGUAAAGAAGCACCGGCUAACUACGUG
This 467-nucleotide ribosomal RNA is filed under the name uncultured bacterium. RNAcentral's name for it is "partial 16S ribosomal RNA". It matches the Rfam family "Bacterial small subunit ribosomal RNA", at positions 28 to 507 of the family's 1533-position model. The record is from RNAcentral.